UAAGGAGUCGCCGAAAACCUAUAAAAGAGUAGGCA
Molecule: non-coding RNA, 35 nt
Filed under: unclassified sequences
Description: DUF805b RNA
Rfam family: DUF805b RNA
About the family: Bacteroidetes, Chlorobi (1 example), Proteobacteria. Lineage (Flavobacteria)
Source: RNAcentral